ACUGUGUUUCCUCUGACACAUUGGUGUGGCUGGCUUCUGGGUUAAGCAAGCAGUGUGUCAAGAAGCAGUGCAACUUUGCAGGGUCAUGCUUGGGGGGAUGCAUGGCUCUCGACCUUUGCCUCUCCCAAGUCCGUACUGGAGUUGCAGAGAUGGGACAAGACUAACUACCAAUUGGACAUCACUAAAAAGUAAACAAAAAAUGUUGGACUCUAGGGAUGCUCGAUACUUUUCUAUAGGCCUAAUUAAAAUUGAUGAAGGGUGAGGCUAAUCAAUCGUAUAAAUGUUCAUUUUAGUUUGUUCUGUAAUCAUUAAAGCACUCCAAAUAAUGAAUGGAAUAUGACUCAAACCUGAAUUGUAAUGUUACCCAUUGCUUUGUUCCCACCAGUUAUGCAUGGUAACCAAAGGAUAUAUGAUGCGUCAUAAUAAUGCCUGAAGGUAAGAGUAAGCUAUAUGCAAACCUGAUGUUCAGAAAUGAUCAACUUAAUGCAUAUUCACCUCUAUUACUGGAAAGUAUUGUGAUUUUCAUAGCAGAUUGGUGUAACGUAAUAUGCUGGGAGUCAGGGGCAGGUGCAGAAGGUGAGUUUAAUAAUGAAUCGAAGCAGAUUGACAAAAUGUGAGAAGCGUACAGAACGUGAGAGAAAACAAUACUACCUAGUAACUGCUGUCAACUGAGGGCUAAAUAAAGGGUGAGUAAUCAAGGAGAUAAUGAUGACCAGGUGUGCGUAAUGAUUGUUGCCAGGGCCGGUGGUUAGCAGACCGGCGACGCCAAGCGCUGGAGAGAGGGAGCGGACACUUGUUGUUGACUAGCAUGUUCUGUAAGGAGAAAGGACGGAGCUGUGCGAUCAAACGUAUGUUUGAAAUAUGGACCAGUCCUUAUUUACAGUUGAGCACCACAGCAGGCAAGCAGGCUACACUUGACCUUGAUCAGAACAGAACACAGCAGGCAGGGCUCUGAGAGGGCCCUGGAGGAAGUCUAAUCCUAUUGCUGAGAGACAAAAACACCAUCCUCAGAGCCAAAUGUCUCUCCAGAAAUACCAUGCCUGACCAUCCAGGCAGCAGCCACCAGCUCACUCCAUUAGCUACCACAAUUAAAGUAGCCCUGGCUGGGCAUCCCAGCUUAUUAAAUUGAAACGGAUGGUGCAUUAGUGGUAGCUGCAGGUCAGGGAAAGGUAACAUUAGAGGUAAUACACACAGAGAGAUGAGACCCCUUCAGAUCAGUUACUAUUGCAGUUUUAUAUUUUGAGAUGAAAAGAGUAAACCUGAUGUACACUGUCAUGACUGGCCUGUUCGGGUCAGGUUACCGUAGACCAUAAUCCUACAGCGAUAUCUCUCACACCCACCAGCGGGAGAGAGAUAGAGAGUUAUGGAGGUGGGGGGUUUCAUUACACCUCCCACCCAUUGUAAAUCUUAAGGCAGCAGACAAAAUCCCCUUUGUCCUCUCAGUAUGGAGGGAUGGAAUGUAUGAUGGGCCUAUGGAGAAUCUACCUCUGAACAGUAACAUGUAAUAAAUGGACUUUGGGACAAUAUGUUUCGUGGCAAUAGAUGGAAUAUGAAAUGAUAUGAGUGUCAUUUUUGUUAUGUUAUUAAAAGUUAAAUGACGACGUUAUAACGAAAACAUUAUAACUUGAAGAGUUUUCACACUCAUGUACUUGAGGUUUGCAUACUGUACGUUGUGUGGAAAAUGUCCAGAUCAAAGAGAAUGUAUUUGUAAAGAUGUAAUGUGAAGUUAGUUGUCUAAAUUGGAUCUGAGUAAAAUCCAGACCUUGCAUCGUAGCUAGUUACGACCAGAGAACUUGCCCUAAAGGUGGAAACGCCAAUUUCUGACCCGAGGGUAUAAAACACAUGAGUUCAGAGCUAAUAUAGCAGACUAAGCAACCACGAGCUCCAGCCAAUGUCCGAAUUAGUUGCAUACCUAAAAUUCAACACAAGGUUGAAGAAGACAAAGGAACCUGAAGAGGGUUAAACCAAGGCCUCAUACCUUUUAAAGGGUUAAUAUAUUGUGCUAUGAUAAACUCUGUGUGUGUGUGUGUUAAAACCUGUUUCGAGUGUUGUGCCCUUCAGACACUAUCAGAAGACUGAAACCGCCUACAGUACGUUCAUACUCCUCCUGUCUGGGACCCACCAUGGUUAUCUGAGGUUCUGAAAACACAAGGCUGCCGCAAGCCUGAUGAAAACAGCCACCUGUCAGAAGAUGCUUGGACUCGUUCACCUUGUUAUGACUCUAUACUUGUGAUGGAAGGUCAAGUUUCUGUCAACCCACUUCUGAGCUUUUAAUUGCUGAUAAGAUGGUUGCUGCUGUCAGGGGGAGGUUAGAUUUAUUAAAAUGUUGUUGUCAGGGAAACUCACGCAAGGAGGACUGGGAGAGGCUCCAUGAGUUACAGGAUGUCUUAGACAUUUUGCACAACCUGGGGAGAGCUAUUAUGUACUGUACUCUGUACCAACUUCUGCACACAAUUGUAUUACUAUAGGAGUAUUCUAAUACUUAAACAACGAGUCUGUGUUUCCUUUCCAAUACUAAUGUAUGUUUGAUAAUUAUACAGACCUGAUCAUCUGUUGAAGAAAUUGACCAACAAAACCUUUUUACAAUCUAUGCUACGGAUGAGUAACUGUGUCUAAGAGGGUGAAUUCAAGCAGGACCACCGGGUCACCACUCUCCAAGGAAUCGUGUGUCUCAACUACUUUCAUUCCCACACUGGAACCAUCUCCACGGCUGAUUAGCCGUCCUCUGAAGAACCCUUUUCAGAGCAAGGACGAGGAAACAUUCCACUAAGAGUAAGGACACUGACAUCGUGAGGACAAACAGAGAGUUACACCUGGCAACCGAAGGUGUGCUGUCAUCAGAGAAGUCAGAACGCGGUCCACGAAGAGGCACCCCAUCAGAGACGUUCAAAACUGAAUUACAUCAUUAUAUUCUGACCCAUUAGAGCGGCAGUUCGGGGCAAGGGAACUGUUCUGUAGCUAUUGUCCCAGGGAACGUGGAGAGCUAUGUCGCUGUUCAACCCCUUGGUGUGGGCGCGAGAGUUGCUACGACAGAGCAGAAGCUCCUCCAGACUGGUGCUGGUGGUCGUGUGUGUUGCCCUGCUACUGGAUAACAUGCUGCUUACUGUUGUCGUGCCCAUCAUCCCAACGUUUUUACAUGCCCUGGAUCCCCCUACACAGGACACCUUCAUCCAGCAUGCAGAGGCUCUCUGAGGAGGGCUUCACAUUGACCUCAGUCCACUCCUUAUACGACAACACUUCCUACAGCAUCAGCUGCUCUGAGAGCAACCUGUCUGAGGCCCUCCUCUUCAACAUCUCCAGAAACUCCAGCCAGGUGAAAGGCAGCACAUGCCAGGAGGACAGUGCCUUCUUGGACAAGGAGAAUGUUCGUGUGGGACUCCUCUUUGCCUCCAAGGCUCUGGUGCAGCUUCUGAUCAAUCCCUUCGUGGGUCCCCUGACCAACAGGUUCAUGUUCUGGCUUCACAGCAAGUGUUUUUGUGUGUGUGACAAAAUCACAGCUAGCUAGGACAGUGUUCAACUUUGCAUUUAUUGAAAAUGAUUAAAUACAAUACACACUGGUUCUAAUCUUAUCCUUAUCUUUUCCCUCAAGAGUUGGACAUCACAUACCAAUGUUUGCUGUCUUUAUCAUCAUGUUUGUUUCAACAAUAAGUAUGUGUGCCUGACACUGACACACACUUCUAACUUGUUACACACAGUUGAUAAUGAGAUAUAAUUGAGGUAGUGAUCUCUAAUAUACAUACCAUGACUGUUUCACAACUCCAAUUGCGUCAUCUUUAGAUUUGAUUUUAUCUUACCACAGUGCAGUCAUGGUAACGGAGGUUGUGUCCUGUGGUUGUCAGUGUUUGCCUUCUCAUGUGCAUGCUCCUUGUUGUUUUUUGCUCGCUCUCUUCAGGGAAUUGGUUCCUCUUUCUCCUCCUGUGUUUCACAAAAACCUCCCCAGUGUUGUAAUAGAAUAUGAACCAUUUUGUCCGAGCAUCUUAACGUCUAAGUGAAAAGCAUGUCUUCUCCCGUAAGACUGGGAAUGUUGGCCAGUGUGUACACAAGUAAUGAGGAGAGAGGCGUAGCUAUGGGGAUCGCACUGGGUGGACUGGCCGUGGAGGUUCUCGUGUUACAUCUCUGCCAUCAAAGAUUUCACCAGAUAGUGUAGAUGGCACUCCUUUGCUGACCCUACUGAAGGACCCCUACAUUCUAAUUUGUGCAGGCUCUCUGUGCUUCGCCAACAUGGGAGUUGCCAUUCUGGAGCCCACACUUCCCAUCUGGAUGAUGCAGACCAUGUGCUCUCCCAAAUGACUGCUUGGUAUGGCUUUCCUACCAGCAAGCAUUUCUUACCUUAUUGGCACCAAUUUAACAAAACGUGAAGGUAGGUUUUCGUUGAUCCUCUCCUGGUUACUUCUAUUUGUUCCUAUCUAUCAAUUAUCAAUAUAUAAAAGUCUAGUCACUCAGAAAAUAAGUUCUCAUGUAAGCCUAUGGGGGUUGUGUGAAUCAGUGUUAGUGUCUGUGUGAAUGUGUGUGUGCAGGGGCAGACUGCCCGA
This is an RNA transcript of Oncorhynchus mykiss (rainbow trout), 4532 nucleotides long. It is a transcript of the gene named chromaffin granule amine transporter-like, with no coding region annotated. NCBI's taxonomy places the organism in Eukaryota, Metazoa, Chordata, Actinopteri, Salmoniformes, Salmonidae. The record is from RefSeq and is a predicted model, not a curated record.